RNAcentral lists this long non-coding RNA (536 nucleotides) under Mytilus galloprovincialis (Mediterranean mussel). Lineage: Eukaryota; Metazoa; Mollusca; Bivalvia; Mytilida; Mytilidae. The record is from RNAcentral.
AGUUUGUCCCAAUCACUUUUUAGAUUUUGUUUUAUAUAAGAGUUGAGAAUUAACUUCUUUUCAUCUGCAAACAUAUUUACUUUAGGUUUAGAAGAACUUUUUGAUGAAGAAGCAUUUUCAUCCGCAGACAUAUGUAUUUUCGGUUUAGAUGGACUUUGUGAUGCAGAAGUGUUUUCAUCUGCAGCCAUAUGUACUUUUUUUUGUUGGUUAAGACAGACUUUUUGAUGAUGAAGUAUUUGAAGGGUUUCCGCCACAAGUUAUCUGAGCCCCAUCGUCCAUUCUCUGUUGUGGGAUGAAUUGAACUUUAGGUUUCGUUCUAGUUCCGUCGUCACCUGAUGGGGUUGAUUUCGAUAUCAUAUGUUCAUCUACGAGCGUUCUGCAAAAUAUAUGGGUACAAGUGUAUCAGCUUCAUUGCAAUACCGUUUAUUCAAGUGCUUAAUAUUUCUAUAAAACUGUUUGACUUACAAAGCCUGUGAACACUUAAGGAUGUUCGCUCCUCUUGCUUUUGAAUUUUUGUCAGAUAUUCGGAAUUCUCU